AGUGAACGCUGGCGGUAGGCCUAACACAUGCAGGUCGAACGGCAGCACAGUAAGAGCUUGCUCUUACGGGUGGCGAAUGGCGGACGGGUGAGGAAUACAUCGGAAUCUACUUUUUCGUGGGGGAUAACGUAGGGAAACUUACGCUAAUACCGCAUACGACCUACGGGUGAAAGCAGGGGAUCUUCGGACCUUGCGCGAUUGAAUGAGCCGAUGUCGGAUUAGCUAGUUGGCGGGGUAAAGGCCCACCAAGGCGACGAUCCGUAGCUGGUCUGAGAGGAUGAUCAGCCACACUGGAACUGAGACACGGUCCAGACUCCUACGGGAGGCAGCAGUGGGGAAUAUUGGACAAUGGGCGCAAGCCUGAUCCAGCCAUACCGCGUGGGUGAAGAAGGCCUUCGGGUUGUAAAGCCCUUUUGUUGGGAAAGAAAAGCAGCAGGUUAAUACCCCGCUGUUCUGACGGUACCCAAAGAAUAAGCACCGGCUAACUUCGU
RNAcentral lists this ribosomal RNA (491 nucleotides) under uncultured bacterium. RNAcentral's name for it is "partial 16S ribosomal RNA". It matches the Rfam family "Bacterial small subunit ribosomal RNA", at positions 29 to 506 of the family's 1533-position model. The record is from RNAcentral.